GAUGAACGCUAGCGGCAGGCUUAACACAUGCAAGUCGAGGGGUAGAGGCUUUCGGGCCUUGAGACCGGCGCACGGGUGCGUAACGCGUAUGCAAUCUGCCUUUCACAGAGGGAUAGCCCAGAGAAAUUUGGAUUAAUACCUCAUAGCAUAACACAACCGCAUGGUUGAGUUAUUAAAGUCACAACGGUGAAAGAUGAGCAUGCGUCCCAUUAGUUAGUUGGUAAGGUAACGGCUUACCAAGACUUCGAUGGGUAGGGGUCCUGAGAGGGAGAUCCGCCACACUGGUACUGAGACACGGACCAGGCUCCUACGGGAGGCAGCAGUGAGGAAUAUUGGUCAAUGGGCGCAAGCCUGAACCAGCCAUGCCGCAUGCAGGAUGACGGUCCUAUGGAUUGUAAACUGCUUUUGUACGAGAAGAAACACUCCUUCGUGAAGGAGCUUGACGGUAUCGUAAGAAUAAGGAUCGGCUAACUCCGUGCCAGCAGCCGCGGUAA
This 494-nucleotide ribosomal RNA is filed under the name uncultured bacterium. RNAcentral's name for it is "partial 16S ribosomal RNA". It matches the Rfam family "Bacterial small subunit ribosomal RNA", at positions 28 to 523 of the family's 1533-position model. The record is from RNAcentral.